RNAcentral lists this ribosomal RNA (254 nucleotides) under uncultured bacterium. Its description in RNAcentral is "partial small subunit ribosomal RNA". It matches the Rfam family "Bacterial small subunit ribosomal RNA", at positions 26 to 285 of the family's 1533-position model. The record is from RNAcentral.
AGGACGAACGCUGGCGGCGUGCUUAACACAUGCAAGUCGAGCGGAAAGGCCCUUCGGGGUACUCGAGCGGCGAACGGGUGAGUAACACGUGAGCAACCUGCCCUUAGCUCCGGGAUAGCUCCGGGAAACCGGAAUUAAUACCGGAUACAACCACGGCCGACAUCUGCUGUGGUGGAAAGGAUUCCGGCUAAGGAUGGGCUCGCGGCCUAUCAGCUAGUUGGUGGAGUAACGGCCCACCAAGGCGACGACGGGUA